Molecule: long non-coding RNA, 871 nt
Filed under: Homo sapiens (human)
Lineage: Eukaryota; Metazoa; Chordata; Mammalia; Primates; Hominidae
Description: HSALNT0373029
Source: RNAcentral
UCAAGCUUCUUAUGGUGAACGGGUUAAGCCUUUCAGGUCAUUGGAGUUUGACUAUCUUGUAAAAAGAAAAAGAGCAUAAUUUUGAAAUAGGAUGUGUCUAUGUGCGAAGCUUCCAGAAGGGAUUUUGGAGAGUCGGGGAACUGCCUGAAUGUUACUGAAGGCCUGAAGUCAAGGAGAGGGCUCCAGUAUGUGAAGUAGAAAUAAAAAAGGAACAUGGUUGGGAUGUGAAGAGCUCCUUUAACAUGGCACAGAGUCUGGUGACUGGAAGGUCUAGAAGUAUAUCAGAGGAAAGGAAAAAUUAAUGGAUAAUGACCAGAUUUUACAUCCACCUAAUGGCUUGGAAUGUUCCAGUGCCAAGAGAAGGCCUUCUUGUCGCAUGUGAUUUCAUAAUAAUUAGGGCCAGCUGUGUCUGUGCGAAUCAGGUCAAGCCAGAUGCCAAACCCUAACUCAAACACUUACAGGAAGAUCCUCAUUGCCAGGAGCCUCAAACGUCCUGCAGAAAAUCAAAAAAAGCAUCUGCCUCCUGUGUCCCCUCUUUCCCUGUUGUACGGCUAACACCAGAUCCCAGUCUCUUCAGUGGCACUCAACUUUUUCAAGUCACAAGAUGGAAGCGCUUUGGAAGAGGAGUAAAGGACCUGGACUCUGAUUCCAUGCCACCGCAAACUCGGGCAGGCACUUCAAAGCAGAGAGUCUCAUUUUCCACUUCUGAAAAACACAUGGUCUAGAUGAGCUCUAAGUCCUUUGCACUCAAUAAUUUCACAGUCUUUUUUAUUAUUAAUAUUAUUUUCAAUUGAAAAAUCAUAAUUGUAUAUUUAUGGGGUACAAUGUGAUGUUUUGAUAUAUGUAUUCAAUAAGGAAUUAUUAAAUCAAG